GACGAACGCUGGCGGCGUGCUUAACACAUGCAAGUCGAACGGAAAGGCCCUGCUUUUGUGGGGUGCUCGAGUGGCGAACGGGUGAGUAACACGUGAGUAACCUGCCCUUGACUUUGGGAUAACUUCAGGAAACUGGGGCUAAUACCGGAUAGGAGCUCCUGCUGCAUGGUGGGGGUUGGAAAGUUUCGGCGGUUGGGGAUGGACUCGCGGCUUAUCAGCUUGUUGGUGGGGUAGUGGCUUACGAAGGCUUUGACGGGUAGCCGGCAUGAGAGGGUGACCGGCCACAUUGGGACUGAGAUACGGCCCAGACUCCUACGGGAGGCAGAAGUGGGGAGUAUUGCACAGUGAGCCGAAGCCUGAGGCGGCAGCGCCGCGUGCGGGAUGCCGGCCUUCGGGUUGUAAACAGAUUUCGCCUGUGACGAAGCGUGAGUGACGGUAAUGGGUAAAGAAGCACCGGCUAACUACGUG
This 468-nucleotide ribosomal RNA is filed under the name uncultured bacterium. RNAcentral's name for it is "partial 16S ribosomal RNA". It matches the Rfam family "Bacterial small subunit ribosomal RNA", at positions 28 to 507 of the family's 1533-position model. The record is from RNAcentral.